Molecule: ribosomal RNA, 466 nt
Filed under: uncultured bacterium
Lineage: Bacteria
Description: partial 16S ribosomal RNA
Rfam family: Bacterial small subunit ribosomal RNA
Source: RNAcentral
GACGAACGCUGGCGGCGCGCUUAACACAUGCAAGUCGAACGGAAAGGCCCUGCUUGCAGGGUACUCGAGUGGCGAACGGGUGAGUAACACGUGGGUGAUCUGCCCUGCACUUCGGGAUAAGCUUGGGAAACUGGGUCUAAUACCGGAUAGGAACCAUCUUUAGUGUGGUGGUUGGAAAGUUUUUUCGGUGUAGGAUGAGCUCGCGGCCUAUCAGCUUGUUGGUGGGGUAAUGGCCUACCAAGGCGGCGACGGGUAGCCGGCCUGAGAGGGUGUACGGCCACAUUGGGACUGAGAUACGGCCCAGACUCCUACGGGAGGCAGCAGUGGGGAAUAUUGCACAAUGGGCGCAAGCCUGAUGCAGCGACGCCGCGUGGGGGAUGAAGGCCUUCGGGUUGUAAACUCCUUUCGCUAGGGACGAAGCUUUGUUGUGACGGUACCUAGAUAAGAAGCACCGGCUAACUACGUG